UACGGAGGGUGCAAGCGUUGUCCGGAAUCACUGGGCGUAAAGGGCGCGUAGGCGGCUCAUGAGGCUGAUCGGGUGAAAGUCCGGGCUCGAACCUCGGACUCGGCCGGUGGCGACUCGUGGGCUGGAGCACUGUAGAGGCGGGUGGAAUUCCGGGUGUAGCGGUGGAAUGCGUAGAGAUCCGGAAGAACACCAGUGGCGAAGGCGGCCCGCUGGGCAGUGGCUGACGCUGAGGCGCGACAGCGUGGGGAGCAACAGG
Molecule: ribosomal RNA, 256 nt
Filed under: uncultured bacterium
Lineage: Bacteria
Description: partial 16S ribosomal RNA
Rfam family: Bacterial small subunit ribosomal RNA
Source: RNAcentral